GAGUGGCGAACGGGUGAGUAACACGUGGGGAACCUGCCCAUAAGAGGGGGAUAACAUCCGGAAACGGGUGCUAAUACCGCAUAGGUGAUCAUAGCGCAUGCUUAGAUCAUUAAAGAUGGCUUCGGCUAUCGCUUAUGGAUGGCCCCGCGGCGUAUUAGCUAGUUGGUGAGGUAAUGGCUCACCAAGGCUGUGAUACGUAGCCGACCUGAGAGGGUGAUCGGCCACACUGGAACUGAGACACGGUCCAGACUCCUACGGGAGGCAGCAGUAGGGAAUCUUCCACAAUGGGCGAAAGCCUGAUGGAGCAAUACCGCGUGAGUGAAGAAGGUCUUCGGAUCGUAAAGCUCUGUUGUUAGAGAAGAACAAGAGGUGUAGUAACUGGCACCUCCUUGACGGUAUCUAACCAGAAAGUCACGGCUAACUACGUGCCAGCAGCCGCGGUAAUACGUAGGUGACAAGCGUUGUCCGGAUUUAUUGGGCGUAAAGCGAGCGCAGGCGGUCUUUUAAGUCUGAUGUGAAAGCCCACGGCUCAACC
This 535-nucleotide ribosomal RNA is filed under the name uncultured bacterium. RNAcentral describes it as "bacterial SSU rRNA". It matches the Rfam family "Bacterial small subunit ribosomal RNA", at positions 93 to 614 of the family's 1533-position model. The record is from RNAcentral.